Molecule: long non-coding RNA, 660 nt
Filed under: Chloebia gouldiae (Gouldian finch)
Lineage: Eukaryota; Metazoa; Chordata; Aves; Passeriformes; Passeridae
Description: Erythrura gouldiae (Gouldian finch) lncRNA (ENSEGOG00005003991.1)
Source: RNAcentral
AUGUGGCCAAAAGAAGUUCAUGCACCUAAGCUUCCUGAAGCUGAAGUGACAUUGAGGAGAAGCUGCAAUUAUCCAGCUGUACUGACACCAUUAGGGAGCUUUUUCUGGAUCACAGCUGCUACACUCCACUGCAGUACUGUGUUCUCCUAUCACCUAACCUCGAAACACAGAGCCCGAUCUUCACUGAGACCUUUCACCUGGCCAUUUUUGAAUAAAAAGACUCUUAUUGUUGAACUUGACCUGAUCAGCAGUCAUUCCAAUUCAGCUGUUUUUCCAAAGGUGGUGGUACCUGCCUUAAGUUGAUAGAAUCCUUUAUUCUCCUUUUCUGUAUCCUAAAUAUUUGAUUGCACCCAAAGGGGAAACCCUCAAAUCAAAACAUUUUAUAGGAUUUGAGUUUUUCUUUCUGCUUUGAACUCCAGCUUUUUCAUCAUCCAUUAUGAUGCAUUAAAACUAAUGAUGGUCAUAGAUUCUUAUGUCUUGUCAAUGUUGCACAACUUCAACUUCAUGAUCUGUUGAGAAGAGGUCACUUCAGUUUCACCAUUUGUGAAGACACUGAUGCUAAGGAGUAAAUAUAUUGACCUGGGACACUGUGCAAUUUUAUGCAAAGAACAAAGCUUGGACGAAGAGCCACGUUUUCUGAAUUGGGGCUGCAUGAUGUGG